UACGUAGGCGGCAAGCGUUAUCCGGAAUUAUUGGGCGUAAAGCGCGCGCAGGUGGUUUCUUAAGUCUGAUGUGAAAGCCCACGGCUCAACCGUGGAGGGUCAUUGGAAACUGGGAGACUUGAGUGCAGAAGAGGAAAGUGGAAUUCCAUGUGUAGCGGUGAAAUGCGUAGAGAUAUGGAGGAACACCAGUGGCGAAGGCGACUUUCUGGUCUGUAACUGACACUGAGGCGCGAAAGCGUGGGGAGCAAACAGG
RNAcentral lists this ribosomal RNA (253 nucleotides) under uncultured bacterium. RNAcentral describes it as "partial 16S ribosomal RNA". It matches the Rfam family "Bacterial small subunit ribosomal RNA", at positions 524 to 776 of the family's 1533-position model. The record is from RNAcentral.